AAUUAACCCUGAUGGGAAUGGCAUCCUUUUUCUUUAUUGUUCUUAAAGAAAAAGAUAGAAUGGACAGCAGGAAAAUGG
Molecule: small RNA, 78 nt
Filed under: Flavobacterium aquatile LMG 4008 = ATCC 11947
Lineage: Bacteria; Pseudomonadati; Bacteroidota; Flavobacteriia; Flavobacteriales; Flavobacteriaceae
Description: Flavobacterium aquatile LMG 4008 Flavo-1 RNA
Rfam family: Flavo-1 RNA
Source: Rfam by way of RNAcentral